GGUGAAUUUCGUACAUCAGGUACAAUGGUUAGGGAAGAAAUCUACAUAGAACGUAAUUUAUAAAUAAGAGAAGCAGUGGGAAGUCCUGUUCAUCUACAAAAGCACAAUCUCAACAAUUAAGGCCCGGUUCCGUCAUUUCCAGGCAAAAUGGGAAAAUCGGAAAAUCGAACGAUUGUAAUGCUUCCAGUCGGAAGCA
Fopius arisanus is the source of this 196-nucleotide long non-coding RNA. RefSeq lists it as uncharacterized. The transcript has 3 exons. Lineage: Eukaryota; Metazoa; Arthropoda; Insecta; Hymenoptera; Braconidae. The record is from RefSeq and is a predicted model, not a curated record.